RNAcentral lists this ribosomal RNA (508 nucleotides) under uncultured bacterium. RNAcentral describes it as "partial 16S ribosomal RNA". The record is from RNAcentral.
GGAGUUAGCCGGUGCUUCUUCUGUGAGUGAUGUCCUUCCUGCCGGCUAUUAACCCGCAGGCCUUCUUCCUCACUGAAAGUGCUUUACAACCCGAAGGCCUUCUUCACACACGCGGCAUGGCUGGAUCAGGGUUGCCCCCAUUGUCCAAUAUUCCCCACUGCUGCCUCCCGUAGGAGUCUGGGCCGUGUCUCAGUCCCAGUGUGGCUGAUCAUCCUCUCAGACCAGCUACGGAUCGUCGCCUUGGUGAGCCGUUACCUCACCAACCAGCUAAUCCGACAUAGGCUCAUCCGAUAGCGCGAGGCCCGAAGGUCCCCCGCUUUCCCCCGUAGGGCGUAUGCCGGUAUUAGCCUGGGUUUCCCCAGGUUAUCCCCCACUACCGGGCAGAUUCCUAUGCAUUACUCACCCGUCCGCCGCUCGCCACCAGGGAGCAAGCUCCCCGUGCUGCCGCUCGACUUGCAUGUGUUAGGCCUGCCGCCAGCGUUCAAUCUGAACCAAGAUCAAAUUCUGA